UACGUAGGGCGCAAGCGUUGUCCGGAAUUAUUGGGCGUAAAGAGCUCGUAGGCGGUCUGUCGCGUCUGCUGUGAAAACCUAGGGCUUAACUCUGGGCGUGCAGUGGGUACGGGCAGGCUAGAGUGCGGUAGGGGAGACUGGAAUUCCUGGUGUAGCGGUGAAAUGCGCAGAUAUCAGGAGGAACACCGGUGGCGAAGGCGGGUCUCUGGGCCGUAACUGACGCUGAGGAGCGAAAGCAUGGGGAGCGAACAGG
This 253-nucleotide ribosomal RNA is filed under the name uncultured bacterium. RNAcentral's name for it is "partial 16S ribosomal RNA". It matches the Rfam family "Bacterial small subunit ribosomal RNA", at positions 524 to 776 of the family's 1533-position model. The record is from RNAcentral.